RNAcentral lists this ribosomal RNA (253 nucleotides) under uncultured bacterium. Its description in RNAcentral is "partial 16S ribosomal RNA". It matches the Rfam family "Bacterial small subunit ribosomal RNA", at positions 524 to 776 of the family's 1533-position model. The record is from RNAcentral.
UACGUAGGGGGCUAGCGUUGUCCGGAAUCAUUGGGCGUAAAGCGCGUGUAGGCGGUUCGGUAAGUCCGCUGUGAAAGUCGGGGGCUCAACCCUCGAAUGCCGGUGGAUACUGUCGGACUAGAGUACGGAAGAGGCGAGUGGAGUUCCUGGUGUAGCGGUGAAAUGCGCAGAUAUCAGGAGGAACACCAAUUGCGAAGGCAGCUCGCUGGGACGUUACUGACGCUGAGACGCGAAAGCGUGGGGAGCAAACAGG